This is a non-coding RNA of Styela clava, 490 nucleotides long. The record is from RefSeq and is a predicted model, not a curated record. NCBI's taxonomy places the organism in Eukaryota, Metazoa, Chordata, Ascidiacea, Stolidobranchia, Styelidae.
CUUUCUUAUAUUCUGAUGUCCCUGAUUAUGCGUGGAAGAAACUAAGCCCCGCCAGAUCUUGGAUUUACAAAAAUACCGUGGGACGUUUAGUUCGUGAUGCUACGAAACCAAGUAGGAAUAGAAGAGAUGUUCAGAGGAGUUCAUGUCAACAGAUGGAAAAUUUAACAGCGCCAUUACAAAGGGUCGUAGAAAUUCAAACCCCUAUUCAACGCGAAACCAGUGUUUAAAAGAAACAACAACAAAAUUUAUGUUUUUUCCGUCAGAUUACAUGUCACAGAUUAUCGAUUUUAUUGUUUUCUGGCAGAUAUUGUUCUCUUAUUGUAUAGAGCUUUUUGCAUCCCUCGAACUUUUUUCCUGAUUCUAACUUUAAGUUAGAGCAUAUAUGCAAAAUUAUAAAGUUCUACGGAUUGAAUCAAAUGUAAUAGAUAGAUAAAAUUGGAAGACUUUGUCCUCGGAUCACUGCUCGUUGCUUGGAAAAAAGAAUUGAUGA